AGACGAAAGACCCUUCUCCUGGGUGUUACCUCUGACAUCUUGCUUGUUAGAACUGGAGAGAGAAAAAAAUGGACCCCAGGAAUGGAGCUGCAGGGACCCUGGAAAAAGGGGACACCAUCACACCACCGUUGAGUUCUGUCAACUGUCAAGUUAAUUAGAACGAAAUUAAAAACACAUUUGCCAAGAUGUUCCGCAGCCAAACCAGUUAAAUAGAGAUUUUAACAAAAUUGAAAGCAUAUUAUACUGAGAUUUGUGGAUCCUGGCCCGGCUCUGAGAACUCUGGGAAUCUUACUCACCUUCCUGGGCCUUAAUUUCCUCAUCUGUCAAAUGGGAACAAUACAAGAGAUGGGCUAACACAUCACUCCCUGAGGCCUGGCCUAUGCAAGGGACCGAGGAUGCUAGAGUCUGAGCCCUGUGGAAGCUUGGAGUUCAACCAGCAGAGGCAAGGCCCUCCCUCCAGCGCUGCCAGACAAAUGAGGAAUCAGUGCAGGAACCAGGCUGUCCGACAGAGAGACGAGAACAUCCAAUGCUGCCUGACAGGAAGCCUUCCUGGAGGAGGUGGUGUCUGACUUGGCACUGAAAGGUGAAAAGGAGUUUUGGGGGAGUAGCAGACUGCAAUACCAUCACCUCGAUUUUGCACAAAUGCACGGCGACCCUCACAAUUCUCAAGCCCACCAUUGGCCGGCUGGACCCCAGGUUUCCUUCAUUUGGUCCUUCUGUUUGGGACACUCACCCUCACCCUCUGAUUGUGGGCUUCCCUGUCCCACAAGGCUCAGCGAAAUGCCAGCUUGGCCGAGCUGCUGUUUCCCAGGUGGAAGUGACCACAUCCUCUCAGACCUUCUGCACCUCGUGCUGGGGAACAAGUGAUUGAAUGAAUGAAUGAAUGAAUGUAAAUUGCCUGACAGCAACGGCUUCAGAGGAAAACUGGACCAGACUGAGGAGGCACUGGAUGCUGUCUGCCCAGUCUCCUUGGAUCAUUGUAUUAUUGAUGUGGUUUUUUUGCUUGAGGAAAGAUUAUUUUGUGCUGCAGUUACCACAGAAGAUUACAGUGAAACCAAACGAACAAGUAAGUAAAACCCUGGCUCCUAUGAAGGACAGAGGUCACUGGCCGGGAGUAGGACAUCCACACUCUGAUGAUUCCUCUUCCAGUUUGGGGACCCUAUGGCACAUGCAUGACACAGAGGGUGACCCCUUGGACAGAGUUCCCCAUGAUGCAGAGGGGCUGGAGUGUGAGUGCCCCAUGCUCUCAUCUGGAGAAGGUACCAGGGCUGCAGAGUCUGCAAGGUG
This 1287-nucleotide long non-coding RNA is filed under the name Sus scrofa (pig). RNAcentral describes it as "lncRNA (ENSSSCG00070000341.1)". Lineage: Eukaryota; Metazoa; Chordata; Mammalia; Artiodactyla; Suidae. The record is from RNAcentral.